CUUAGUGGCGGACGGGUGAGUAACGCGUGGGUAACCUGCCGUAUACAGGGGGAUAACAGUUGGAAACAACUGCUAAUACCGCAUAAGCGCACACUGUCGCAUGACAGAGUGUGAAAAUUUCCGGAGGUAUACGAUGGACCCGCGUCUGAUUAGCCAGUUGGCAGGGUAACGGCCUACCAAAGCAACGAUCGGUAGCCGGCCUGAGAGGGUGGACGGCCACAUUGGGACUGAGACACGGCCCAAACUCCUACGGAAGGCAGCAG
Molecule: ribosomal RNA, 263 nt
Filed under: uncultured bacterium
Lineage: Bacteria
Description: partial 16S ribosomal RNA
Rfam family: Bacterial small subunit ribosomal RNA
Source: RNAcentral